RNAcentral lists this ribosomal RNA (431 nucleotides) under uncultured SAR324 cluster bacterium. Its description in RNAcentral is "bacterial SSU rRNA". It matches the Rfam family "Bacterial small subunit ribosomal RNA", at positions 385 to 833 of the family's 1533-position model. The record is from RNAcentral. Lineage: Bacteria; Deltaproteobacteria.
GAUGCAGCAAUGUCGCGUGAGUGAAGAAGGCCCUUGGGUCGUAAAGCUCUUUUAUGGGGGAAGAUGAUGACGGUACCCCAAGAAUAAGCACCGGCUAACUAUGUGCCAGCAGCCGCGGUAAUACAUAGGGUGCGAGCGUUGUUCGGAAUUACUGGGCGUAAAGGGCGCGCAGGCGGAAUAGUAAGUCGGAGGUGAAAGCCCGGGGCUCAACCCCGGAGGGUCUUUCGAAACUGCUAAUCUAGAGAGGGUCAGGGGCCGGCAGAAUUCCUGGUGUAGAGGUGAAAUUCGUAUAUAUCAGGAGGAAUACCGGUGGCGAAGGCGGCCGGCUGGGGCCACUCUGACGCUGAGGCGCGAAAGCGUGGGGAGCAAACAGGAUUAGAUACCCUGGUAGUCCACGCCGUAAACGAUGAGCACUGGACGUCCGGAGGGUU